RNAcentral lists this long non-coding RNA (241 nucleotides) under Setaria viridis. RNAcentral's name for it is "long non-coding RNA (SVIR_LNC001945)". Lineage: Eukaryota; Viridiplantae; Streptophyta; Magnoliopsida; Poales; Poaceae. The record is from RNAcentral.
GAGAAAAUUGCAAUUUUAGGACUCCAAACAACGCGCUUCGCUAUUUUAGGACUCCUAUCGUCGACUUCGCUAAAAUGACCCUCAAAACGUUGGCACUUCGUUAUACAUGACAUUUGCUCAUUUAAAACACUUUUCCCAAAUGAAAUACAUGUAUUUUAGCAUUAGAGGACCAUAUUGCCCUCAGCUCUUUUCUCCUGGACGUGGGAUGGUGCUGCUGGCCGCUCGCCUGGCCUGGCUGGCC